Long non-coding RNA from Rhincodon typus (whale shark), 457 nucleotides. RefSeq lists it as uncharacterized. The transcript is spliced from 3 exons. NCBI's taxonomy places the organism in Eukaryota, Metazoa, Chordata, Chondrichthyes, Orectolobiformes, Rhincodontidae. The record is from RefSeq and is a predicted model, not a curated record.
GAACCCAGAACCAACAUCAUGCACACUUGGCUCUGUCACAAACUGGGGAGAGGGCCUUUAGAGUAAGUUUCUUGUGAUAAUUUUUCAGGGACCCCCACAGAUUGCUCCCAUCAGAUGCAAGUCUACAGGGAAAGAGGACACAUGAGUAGGAUUAACCAGACAGCCCAGAAACUACUAAAUGUCCCAGCAUUGUGUGGCUGUUUCUAUCUCAACAGUUACUGAAACCUCGAAUGUCUCCACCCCUCAACUAACAACAAAACAGAAGCCAAUCUGACAGCUGAUUCGAGGGGGACGUUGCAGGCACUGGAAACUUGAAGCUGGUGGCUGUGAGCUGCCUUCUUGAACCACUGCAGUCCAUUUGGUGGAGAGAGAGAGAUACACAAUGCAGUGCCAGGUAACGUUUCAGACCAAAGGAGAGCACUGGUCCUCUAGCACGCACACGCUCUGGAAAUCUUAC